GUGAAUCAUCGAAUCUUUGAACGCAAAUUGCACUCCCUGGUAUUCCGGGGAGUAUGCCUGUUUGAGGGUCGUUAGAACAAAAAUCGAAGCGUGGCUCUUUUUUUUAAGGGUGAUCGCGUCGGAAUUGAGCCGUCUUUCAAAUGUUAAUUAAUGUCAAAGUGGCUUAAAAUUUAUCCAUCCGGUACGAUUAAAGCGUAUUUAAGAUCAACUUUGAUUAAGAACGCGCGAUGUACGUAUGAUCUCAGGUAGUACGUUUGCAUUGAAGUCGUCUG
Molecule: unclassified non-coding RNA, 272 nt
Filed under: Funneliformis mosseae
Lineage: Eukaryota; Fungi; Glomeromycota; Glomeromycetes; Glomerales; Glomeraceae
Description: partial contains 5.8S ribosomal RNA and internal transcribed spacer 2
Rfam family: 5.8S ribosomal RNA (bases 1-71)
Source: RNAcentral